This is a long non-coding RNA of Aedes aegypti (yellow fever mosquito), 583 nucleotides long. RefSeq lists it as uncharacterized. The transcript is spliced from 3 exons. Lineage: Eukaryota; Metazoa; Arthropoda; Insecta; Diptera; Culicidae. The record is from RefSeq and is a predicted model, not a curated record.
AUAUUUUUUAAAAACUACAAUUGUUUUUGUUGAAUACAAAUAUUAAAUUUUAUUGUUCCAAAAAAUUUAAUUGUUGUUUUUACACCAAACUGAUUGGAACACAAGUACCUUAGAUUCAAUAAAAUAUUUUAUUGGCUAUUGACAUAAUCUGUUUUGCUUUCAAAAAAAGUUUUUUUGUUUCAAAAAAUCCUAAUAUUGAUACACAUACAUAUGCAUUAUAUGAGAGUGUAUGUGUAUGUUUUUUGCUAGUAUGUACGCACGGCCAGACGCCAUUUCCAUGAUUUGAAACAAAGAUAAAAUGGAUUCAACAGAAGAAGUACUGGCUAUGAAUGUUGAGGAAGUUAUUGACGCGCUGGUGGAUUUAUUGCUGAGUUUUGGACUCUCUGAAGAAUUUAUCAAUCGUACCCUGGAAAAUCAAUAUACCCUUGAAACCAUGCAAAUCCUGGAACGGAAGGAAAUUCAAGAAUUGAUGCAUGGAUUGUCCAGGUAUCUCCACCAUUAUCCACAGAUUGCCUUUCGACCGCAUCACCGGUGGUAAGAGAAAGUAAUUCCGAAGCCAUCACUCGUGAACGGUGCAUUGUUA